This is a long non-coding RNA of Telopea speciosissima, 380 nucleotides long. RefSeq lists it as uncharacterized. Lineage: Eukaryota; Viridiplantae; Streptophyta; Magnoliopsida; Proteales; Proteaceae. The transcript is spliced from 2 exons. The record is from RefSeq and is a predicted model, not a curated record.
UUGACAGCACUAAAGCUUACGGGUUGUGAAAAGCUGGAGGAGAUUCGAGGACUUGAGGGAACAGAAUCCUUGAAAGAAUUGAAUGCGCGAGGAUGCCAUAAUCUGACACAUUCUCCAAGGAAGAUACAUGGACAGGGAGCACUUUUACCCUACAGGUCACAGGGAAAUACCUAUUCCUUGACUGCUAACUACUAAUUAUGGGAUCGAUUAUAAGGGGUUGAUUCUGUGCAUUGUUCUGGAAUUUCCCUCCGACUUCAUGGAUGAUCUGGUACUAACCUUCAAUUUUGAUAUUUCUGCUUCUAUCCGCAAAAAAGAUAAAACAGCCAGGUGUCUUCAUACGUUGAGAAUUGAGGACGUUGAGAUUACUACUCAUCGACAUA